CCUACGGGUGGCUGCAGUGGGGAAUAUUGCACAAUGGGCGCAAGCCUGAUGCAGCCAUGCCGCGUGUGUGAAGAAGGCCUUCGGGUUGUAAAGCACUUUCAGCGGGGAGGAAGGCGUUAAGGUUAAUAACCUUGGCGAUUGACGUUACCCGCAGAAGAAGCACCGCCUAACUCCGUGCCAGCAGCCGCGGUAAUACGGAGGGUGCAAGCGUUAAUCGGAAUUACUGGGCGUAAAGCGCACGCAGGCGGUCUGUCAAGUCGGAUGUGAAAUCCCCGGGCUCAACCUGGGAACUGCAUUCGAAACUGGCAGGCUAGAGUCUUGUAGAGGGGGGUAGAAUUCCAGGUGUAGCGGUGAAAUGCGUAGAGAUCUGGAGGAAUACCGGUGGCGAAGGCGGCCCCCUGGACAAAGACUGACGCUCAGGUGCGAAAGCGUGGGGAGCAAACAGGAUUAGAUACCCCGGUAGUC
RNAcentral lists this ribosomal RNA (465 nucleotides) under uncultured Klebsiella sp. RNAcentral describes it as "bacterial SSU rRNA". It matches the Rfam family "Bacterial small subunit ribosomal RNA", at positions 338 to 795 of the family's 1533-position model. The record is from RNAcentral. Lineage: Bacteria; Pseudomonadati; Pseudomonadota; Gammaproteobacteria; Enterobacterales; Enterobacteriaceae.